This 901-nucleotide ribosomal RNA is filed under the name uncultured bacterium. Its description in RNAcentral is "bacterial SSU rRNA". It matches the Rfam family "Bacterial small subunit ribosomal RNA", at positions 49 to 930 of the family's 1533-position model. The record is from RNAcentral.
CUACCAUGCAGUCCAACGUGAAAGGGGAGCAAUCCCCCGGUAGGGUGGCAAACGGGUGAGUAAUACAUGGGUGAUCUACCUUAGGGAUGGGGAUAUCCUUCCGAAAGGAGGGGCAAUACCGAAUAUUGUCCGGGACCGUGAAGGGUUCCGGGGAAAGGGAGGCCUCUGAUACAAGCUUUCGCCUUAAGAUGAGCCCAUGGCCCAUCAGCUAGUUGGUAGGGUAAAGGCCUACCAAGGCUACGACGGGUCGCUGGUCUGAGAGGACGACCAGCCACACUGGCACUGAGAUACGGGCCAGACUCCUACGGGAGGCAGCAGUGAGGAAUAUUGCGCAAUGGGGGAAACCCUGACGCAGCAACGCCGCGUGUGGGAAGAAGGCCUUCGGGUCGUAAACCACUUUUACUCGGGACGAAAAAGGGAUGUCAAAUAAACAUCCCCGAUGACGGUACCGUGAGAAUAAGCCACGGCUAACUCUGUGCCAGCAGCCGCGGUAAGACAGAGGUGGCAAGCGUUGUUCGGAAUUACUGGGCGUAAAGAGUCUGUAGGUGGUUUGUCAAGUCUUUGGUGAAAGGCCGUAGCUUAACUAUGGGAAUGCCAAAGAGACUGGCAGGCUGGAGGCUGGGAGAGGGAAGCGGAAUUCCAGGUGUAGCGGUGAAAUGCGUAGAGAUCUGGAGGAACAUCAGUGGCGAAGGCGGCCACCUGGCCCAAUACUGACGCUGAGGCACGAAAGCGUGGGGAGCAAACAGGAUUAGAUACCCUGGUAGUCCACGCCCUAAACGAUGAAUACUAGAUGUUUGGUGCCUAGCGUACUGAGUGUCGUAGCUAACGCGAUAAGUAUUCCGCCUGGGAAGUACGGCCGCAAGGUUAAAACUCAAAGGAAUUGACGGGGGCCGGCACAAGC